AGAGUUUGAUCCUGGCUCAGAUUGAACGCUGGCGGUAUGCUUAACACAUGCAAGUCGAACGGUAACAGCAGAGCUUGCUCUGGCUGACGAGUGGCGGACGGGUGCGUAACGCGUGGGAAUCUACCUUAUAGUGGGGGAUAGCCCGGAGAAAUCCGGAUUAAUACCGCAUAAUCCCUACGGGGGAAAGGGGCCUCUUCUUGAAAGCUCUUGCUAUUAGAUGAGCCCGCGUAAGAUUAGCUAGAUGGUGGGGUAACGGCCUACCAUGGCAACGAUCUUUAGCUGGUCUGAGAGGAUGAUCAGCCACACUGGGACUGAGACACGGCCCAGACUCCUACGGGAGGCAGCAGUGGGGAAUAUUGGACAAUGGGGGCAACCCUGAUCCAGCAAUACCGCGUGUGUGAAGAAGGCCUGAGGGUUGUAAAGCACUUUCAAUAGAGACGAAAAGCCUAAGAUUAAUAAACUUGGGUGGGGA
Molecule: ribosomal RNA, 472 nt
Filed under: uncultured Gammaproteobacteria bacterium
Lineage: Bacteria; Pseudomonadati; Pseudomonadota; Gammaproteobacteria
Description: bacterial SSU rRNA
Rfam family: Bacterial small subunit ribosomal RNA
Source: RNAcentral